RNAcentral lists this ribosomal RNA (675 nucleotides) under uncultured bacterium. RNAcentral's name for it is "bacterial SSU rRNA". It matches the Rfam family "Bacterial small subunit ribosomal RNA", at positions 834 to 1510 of the family's 1533-position model. The record is from RNAcentral.
GGUGACUCAGUGCUGAAGUUAACGCAUUAAGUUCUCCGCCUGGGGAGUACGAUCGCAAGAUUGAAACUCAAAGGAAUUGACGGGUCUCCGCACAAGCGGUGGAGCAUGUUGUUUAAUUCGAAGAUACGCGAAGAACCUUACCUGGGCUUGACAUCCCUCGGACCGUCCUAGAGAUAGGACUUUCCUUCGGGACUGAGGUGACAGGUGGUGCAUGGUUGUCGUCAGCUCGUGUCGUGAGAUGUUGGGUUAAGUCCCGCAACGAGCGCAACCCCUAUCGAUAGUUGCUAACAUUUAGUUGAGGACUCUAUCGAGACUGCCAGUGAUAAACUGGAGGAAGGUGGGGAUGACGUCAAAUCAUCAUGCCCCUUAUGUCCAGGGCUACAAACGUGCUACAAUGGCCGGUACAGCGAGAUGCUAAGCAGUGAUGUGGCGCAAACCUUUCAAAGCCGGUCUCAGUUCGGAUUGAAGUCUGCAACUCGACUUCAUGAAGUUGGAAUCGCUAGUAAUCGUGGGUCAGCAUACCACGGUGAAUACGUUCUCGGAGAUUGUACACACCGCCCGUCAUACCACGAGAGUCUGUAACACCCGAAGUAGGUGGCCUAACUGUAAAGAGGGAGCCUCCUAAGGUGGGAUGGAUGAUUGGGGUAAAGUCGUAACAAGGUAACCAAGGGCGAA